UCAGUCAGUUGAUGAUGGAGUCUCUGCUGGUGAUCCUGCUCGCUCUCAGUGGUUUACAGAACCAUGCAGCUGUCGACCCCUCAUCGACCAUCCAGGUGAGGCUUGGAGAGAAUGCCACCCUGCAGUGCCCUCUGCUGGACACCUCCAAUUUCACCAUGCUCACCACCACCACUGCCCCGACCGCGCCCACCACCCUCAGCUGGUACAGGAAAGCACCAGGACAGGGACCACAGCUCCUUGUCUCCUUCAGGUCUAUGGAUAGACUCAAACUGAAAUACGGCAACGGUGUUCCCCGCAGUAAAGUCUCUAUAGCGGCCGAUGGCUCACUGGUGGUGCAAGGCUCCAAGCAGAGCGACUCGGCGGUUUAUUACUGUGGAAUCAGCCGGGGAGAUGACCGGAAGAAGGAACCAAGGCCACGGAGCCGCAGAAGGAAAUAAUGUCAGGAGUGAGGAUCGACCAGUUAGUCGUUGGCUUUACUUGGCUGCUUGUUCAGACUGUUUCUCUGCUCUUCUUCAGUUCCCCUCAUUUUUAAGCCUCAUCUUUGAACAUCAUACGCAGAAGAAUAUCUGCACCCCACCUCACAGUUUAAUAAACGUGCUUUUUUGUGCAGUGACUGAAAACAGUGAGCUUACAUGUACAACGGCCAAGUUUCUGAGAUUUUUAAUUAACUUGUGUUUGAAUUAAGAGUGAUUUAAAGGCUGUGCUUUUUCAGUAUCCAUGCGCUCUCACAGUCCGGCCAAAUGAAGCUGUUGCUGUAAAGGUGUUUGCUUUGUGGCACUACUUUUUCUUUCCCCACCAU
Non-coding RNA from Pundamilia nyererei, 799 nucleotides. Lineage: Eukaryota; Metazoa; Chordata; Actinopteri; Cichliformes; Cichlidae. The record is from the annotation of a RefSeq genome assembly.